UCCGUAGGCGGGCUAAUAAGUCAGGGGUGAAAUCCAACAGCUUAACUGUUGAACUGCCUUUGAUACUGUUAGUCUUGAAUUAUAUGGAAGUAGAUAGAAUGUGUAGUGUAGCGGUGAAAUGCUUAGAGAUUACACAGAAUACCGAUUGCGAAGGCAGUCUACUACAUAUAUAUUGACGCUAAUGGACGAAAGCGUGGGGAGCGAACAGGAUUAGAUACCCUGGUAGUC
Molecule: ribosomal RNA, 228 nt
Filed under: uncultured bacterium
Lineage: Bacteria
Description: partial 16S ribosomal RNA
Rfam family: Bacterial small subunit ribosomal RNA
Source: RNAcentral